UACGUAGGGACCAAGCGUUGUUCGGAUUUACUGGGCGUAAAGCGUGUGUAGGCGGACUUCUAAGUACCUUGUGAAAUCCCACGGCUCAACCGUGGAACUGCUCGGUAUACUGGUUGUCUUGAGCCACUUAGGGGCUACCGGAACAAAUGGUGGAGCGGUGAAAUGCGUAGAUAUCAUUUGGAACGCCAAUGGUGAAAACAGGUAGCUGGGAGUGUGCUGACGCUGAGACACGAAAGCCAGGGGAGCGAACGGG
This 253-nucleotide ribosomal RNA is filed under the name uncultured bacterium. Its description in RNAcentral is "partial 16S ribosomal RNA". It matches the Rfam family "Bacterial small subunit ribosomal RNA", at positions 524 to 776 of the family's 1533-position model. The record is from RNAcentral.